Molecule: ribosomal RNA, 423 nt
Filed under: uncultured delta proteobacterium
Lineage: Bacteria; Deltaproteobacteria
Description: bacterial SSU rRNA
Rfam family: Bacterial small subunit ribosomal RNA
Source: RNAcentral
AACCCACCUCUGAAUCUGGAAUAACUUCGCGAAAGCGUUGCUAAUACCGGAUAUUGUCCCUGGGACUGUGGUUCUUGGGAUGAAAGGUGACCUCUUCCUGAAAGUUGCCGUUUAGAGACGGGCCCGCGUACCAUUAGCUAGUUGGUAGGGUAAUGGCCUACCAAGGCUGGGAUGGUUAGCUGGUCUGAGAGGAUGACCAGCCACACUGGCACUGAAACACGGGCCAGACUCCUACGGGAGGCAGCAGUGAGGAAUUUUGCGCAAUGGGGGCAACCCUGACGCAGCAACGCCGCGUGAGCGAAGAAGGCCUUCGGGUCGUAAAGCUCUGUCUAGUGGGAAAAAAGUCUUCCGGUAAAUAGCCGGAAGAUCUGAUGGUACCGCUGGAGGAAGCACCGGCUAACUCCGUGCCAGCAGCCGCGGUAA